Pongo abelii (Sumatran orangutan) is the source of this 46-nucleotide non-coding RNA. The record is from Rfam. NCBI's taxonomy places the organism in Eukaryota, Metazoa, Chordata, Mammalia, Primates, Hominidae.
UAUAAGGUUUUUUUGAAAGCCACAUCAUUUUCCAAAGAGAUAAUUG